GUAGGUGGCAAGCGUUGUCCGGAAUUAUUGGGCGUAAAGCGCGCGCAGGCGGUUCUUUAAGUCUGAUGUGAAAGCCCACGGCUCAACCGUGGAGGGUCAUUGGAAACUGGAGAACUUGAGUACAGAAGAGGAAAGCGGAAUUCCACGUGUAGCGGUGAAAUGCGUAGAGAUGUGGAGGAACACCAGUGGCGAAGGCGGCUUUCUGGUCUGUAACUGACGCUGAGGCGCGAAAGCGUGGGGAGCAAACAGGACUAGAUACCCUGGUAGUCCACGCCGUAAACGAUGAGUGCUAAGUGUUAGGGGGUUUCCGCCCCCCUUAGUGCUGCAGCUAACGCAUUAAGCACUCCGCCUGGGAGUACGGCCGCAAGGCUG
This 372-nucleotide ribosomal RNA is filed under the name uncultured organism. RNAcentral's name for it is "partial 16S ribosomal RNA". It matches the Rfam family "Bacterial small subunit ribosomal RNA", at positions 527 to 896 of the family's 1533-position model. The record is from RNAcentral.